GUGCUUGCUUCGGCAGCACAUAUACUAAAAUUGUAACGAUACAGAGAAGAUUAUCAUGGCCCUUGAGCAAGAAUGACAUGUAAAUUCAUGUUAAGCAUUCCAUAUUUUU
Small nuclear RNA from Suncus etruscus (white-toothed pygmy shrew), 109 nucleotides. NCBI's taxonomy places the organism in Eukaryota, Metazoa, Chordata, Mammalia, Eulipotyphla, Soricidae. The record is from RefSeq and is a predicted model, not a curated record.